CCUGAGAAACCCAAAAGUUCGAAUGGAGAGAUUCAUCGUCAGCGCAUUUUGGUAUAUGUGCAAGUUACGAUGUGANUUGUCCUUGUGANGAAUUUUGCACGUGCUUGUAUCAUUUUAUUGCCGGGUGUCGUCGGCGUGCACUUCUCUCCUAGUAGAACGUCGCGACCCGUUAGACGUCGAUCUACGGCCCGGAUGGUUGUCUUUAAUGUCAUCGCAAGAUGUUACUAUUAAAGACCACCGGUGUUACCUGACCGACUGUCCGACGGUAUUCAUACGGUAUUGAGCCGCAGUUAUAAAUGCGUCGAACCCGUUCGCAAGCUCGAUUAGUAUCACUCAACAGUUACGGACCUAUGCCGUCGUUGGGACUAAUCAGCUGUUAGUUGUGCGGUGUUCCUUGACUGGCUCAAGAUAAUUACCGGUCANNGAUGCUACUGCUUUGGGUAUUUCAGGACCCGUCUUGAAACANGGACCAAGGAGUCUAACAUGUACGCGAGUCAUUGGGGUUAAUUUUUUAAUGACAAAACCUAAAGGCACAAUGAAAGUAAAAGUGACCUUGUGUCAAAUGAAGAGAGAGUUGCGNUACACGAUCAUAGCUUCGCACUCCCGGGGCGUUUCAUUCUCAUUGAC
RNAcentral lists this ribosomal RNA (627 nucleotides) under Afrocampsis griseosetosus. RNAcentral's name for it is "eukaryotic LSU rRNA". Lineage: Eukaryota; Metazoa; Arthropoda; Insecta; Hymenoptera; Braconidae. The record is from RNAcentral.